UGAGAGCAAUCAAGUGCCUUAAGGGUGUUCGGUGGAUGCCUUGGCGCUGAGAGGCGAUGAAGGACGUGCUACGCUGCGAUAAGCCGUGGGGAGCUGCGAAGAAGCUUUGAUCCAUGGAUUUCCGAAUGGGGAAACCCACCUUCGAUAGCCGGAACUCCAAGACCUUUGUCGAAAGACAUCGGUGUGGGGUUCGAUCAGAAAUGAGAGAUGCCUAAGCCUUUAGAUUUCGAUCGAAGAGGUUUUGGAUUUCCGGUUAUCAAGAGAAGGUAUGAGACUUCUGAAUACAUAGGAGGUUUCAAGCAAACCCAGGGAACUGAAACAUCUAAGUACCUGGAGGAAAGGACAUCAACAGAG
RNAcentral lists this ribosomal RNA (354 nucleotides) under Bradyrhizobium sp. 14.4. Its description in RNAcentral is "bacterial LSU rRNA". It matches the Rfam family "Bacterial large subunit ribosomal RNA", at positions 1 to 233 of the family's 2925-position model. The record is from RNAcentral. Lineage: Bacteria; Pseudomonadati; Pseudomonadota; Alphaproteobacteria; Hyphomicrobiales; Nitrobacteraceae.